AGAGUUUGAUCAUGGCUCAGGAUGAACGCUAGCGGUAGGCUUAAUACAUGCAAGUCGAGGGGCAGCGAGGUUAGCAAUAACUGUCGGCGACCGGCGUACGGGUGAGUAACACGUACCCAAUCUACCUUAUACUGAAGCAUAGCCCUUGGAAACGAGGAUUAAUACUUCAUAACAUAAUGAAAAGGCAUCUUUUUAUUAUUAAAGCUCAGGCGGUAUAAGAUGAGGGUGCGUCCCAUUAGUUAGUUGGCGGGGUAACGGCCCACCAAGACGAUGAUGGGUAACUGGCGUGAGAGCGCGACCAGUCACACGGGCACUGAGACACGGGCCCGACUCCUACGGGAGGCAGCAGUAGGGAAUAUUGGGCAAUGGAGGCAACUCUGACCCAGCCAUACCGCGUGCAGGAUGAAGGCCCUCUGGGUUGUAAACUGCUUUUAUCAGGGAAGAAACGCUAGGAUUCAUCUUAGCCUGACGGUACCUGAGGAAUAAGCACCGGCUAACUCCGUGCCAGCAGCCGCGGUAAUACGGAGGGUGCAAGCGUUAUCCGGAUUUACUGGGUUUAAAGGGUGCGUAGGCGGAUUGUUAAGUCAGUGGUGAAAGAUUCGAGCUCAACUCGGAAACUGCCAUUGAUACUGAUGAUCUCGAAUACAGUUGAGGUAGGCGGAAUAUUACAUGUAGCGGUGAAAUGCUUAGAUAUGUAAUAGAACACCGAUUGCGAAGGCAGCUUGCUAAACUGUUAUUGACGCUGAGGCACGAAAGCGUGGGGAUCAAACAGGAUUAGAUACCCUAGUAGUCC
Molecule: ribosomal RNA, 793 nt
Filed under: uncultured bacterium
Lineage: Bacteria
Description: bacterial SSU rRNA
Rfam family: Bacterial small subunit ribosomal RNA
Source: RNAcentral